This 253-nucleotide ribosomal RNA is filed under the name uncultured bacterium. RNAcentral's name for it is "partial 16S ribosomal RNA". It matches the Rfam family "Archaeal small subunit ribosomal RNA", at positions 474 to 727 of the family's 1478-position model. The record is from RNAcentral.
UACCCGCAGCACAAGUGGUGGUCAUUAUUAUUGGGCCUAAAGCGUCCGUAGCUGGCUUGUUAGAUGCCUGGGUAAAUCGAUGCGCUCAACGUAUCGAAUUCCGGGUAGACCGGCAAGCUCGAGACCGGGAGAGGUGUAGGCUACUCGAGGGGUAGGGGUAAAAUCCUGUAAUCCUUCGGGAAGGACCAGUGGCGAAGGCGCUACACUAGAACGGCUCUGACAGUGAGGGACGAAGCCCUGGGGCGCAAACCGG